Long non-coding RNA from Girardinichthys multiradiatus, 1485 nucleotides. RefSeq lists it as uncharacterized. The transcript has 2 exons. The record is from RefSeq and is a predicted model, not a curated record. NCBI's taxonomy places the organism in Eukaryota, Metazoa, Chordata, Actinopteri, Cyprinodontiformes, Goodeidae.
CCCUGUGACAUCAUAGAUUUACCAAACUCUCCUGUGCAGCAGACUGCUUCCUCUUUUCUCGUAACCAUCACCGGUUACAUAGGGGGGACACGCCUGUGAAUGUCCUGAUCUCGCUGACCAAGUAAAGACUACAUCUUCAAAGAAACCUAAGAUCCAAGUUGAAACUGAGAGCCAGGCCUUCUUGCCCAACAUCAGUCUAUGAGCACAUAAAUGUGCUUCUGGAAAGAUGGUAAAAAAUUCCCAUGAAGAUGCUGUGAGACCUUGUGGACAGCAAUCCCAGAAGAGACUAAGCUGGUUUAGCUGUAAAGGGUGAACCAACGUCAUAUUAAACUUACUGAUUGAGAAUGGGUGUCACUUCAGCUCAUAUGGAAGUGUGAUGGCUGCAGUUACAGUCACACUCACACAUAAUAGGUCAUUUCUAUCCAACAUCACACUGCUACAGUAGAGAAUUACACACUUCACUACACUUAUAUUUUACUCUCUUUAAAUAUAGGACUUAAUUUACAGAUUAAUGAAGAACUGGUUUUGGUUUAGAAUUGAUUUAUUUACACAACAUGACACUGUAUUAUAAAAGGUGUGCACAUGUUAGUUUACCCUGUUAUGUGUGUACUUUUUCAUUUAAUCCUUUUUGUUUUCUGAGUUACUUUAGUAGCACCUGCUCCAUUCCUGUGACUGAACAAAGAGGUGGAAAGGAGCGGAGCAAACCGUUGUGGAGACCGGCAAACUGGUUCAAAUCACAACUCAGGACCAUGGGGGAGAAAUGGGACUUGCUUGUGUCAGCUGUGUGUCAGCUCCCUCACGAUCCUCUAUGGAAGAAGCGGGUAUAGAAAAUGGAUGUAUGGAAUCUCAAUGAGAUCUACCUGUUUCUAAGCUCCUUCGUGUAAGGUUAUGAUAUAAUAAUAAUAACAAGGCAGCACAAAUAAUAUGAUGGUUAACCAAUCAGAUAUUGUGGUAGUGGACAUAGCUGAAAAAAGCGCAUUAGUGAUAGAUGUAGAAGUCACCACUAGGAGCAUCAUCAAGAAGAUGUAGAAAUAGAAGUUUGAGAAAUAGCAUCCAAGGGCUCAAAGAGUAAAUAUAAACUUUGUGGAGACAUUUGGAGCCCUUAUGCCCCAAACUGGUGGUUUCAGGGAGAGUGCAGUGCUAUGAACAGUUACGUUUGUGAACCCUCAAGUUCCCAGGCCUCUGGUAAAGAACCUGAGCUUGAGGAACCUCUCAUGUGGAGAGGGUGGGUGGAAGGUUUAUAUGUUUCUCAUUGUGUUAACACAUACCUGUUAGCACCUUAUACAGCAACACACUAGUGAUAUCUGUUGUUUUCCUCUUGUUACAUUGUUUUCUUUCUUUUGUUGUAUCUUAUCAGGUGUUUUAAUUUAUUUUAGAUUUUAUGAACGUAGAUUUUGUUUUACAGAUUUUGGAAAUCUUUUAAAAAAUGUAUUGUAUACCCUGGUUUUCUUGCUCGGCUGUCUAAUAAAGUAUUUACAUAUUUAA